This 399-nucleotide ribosomal RNA is filed under the name uncultured bacterium. RNAcentral's name for it is "bacterial SSU rRNA". It matches the Rfam family "Bacterial small subunit ribosomal RNA", at positions 28 to 424 of the family's 1533-position model. The record is from RNAcentral.
GAUGAACGCUAGCGGCAGGCUUAAUACAUGCAAGUCGAGGGGCAGCGGGAGUAGCAAUACUUGCCGGCGACCGGCGCACGGGUGCGUAACACGUAUGUAAUCUGCCCAUCACAGGAGGAUAGCCCGGAGAAAUUCGGAUUAAUACUCCAUAAUAGAAGAUAAAGCAUUUUAUUUUCUUGAAAGUUCCGACGGUGAUGGAUGAACAUGCGACUGAUUAGUUUGUUGGUGAGGUAACGGCUCACCAAGACUACGAUCAGUAGGGGUACUGAGAGGUUAAACCCCCACACUGGUACUGAGACACGGACCAGACUCCUACGGGAGGCAGCAGUAAGGAAUAUUGGACAAUGGCCGCAAGGCUGAUCCAGCCAUGCCGCGUGCAGGAAGACGGACCUAUGGUUU